This 1026-nucleotide ribosomal RNA is filed under the name uncultured organism. RNAcentral describes it as "bacterial SSU rRNA". It matches the Rfam family "Bacterial small subunit ribosomal RNA", at positions 38 to 1067 of the family's 1533-position model. The record is from RNAcentral.
GGCGGCGUGCUUACACAUGCAAGUCGAACGAGAAUUUUGAGAUGAUUUUUUUGAAAUGAUUCUUAAGAGGAAAGUGGCGGACGGGCGAGUAACGCGUGAGCAACCUGCCUUAUGCAGGGGGAUAACAUCGGGAAACCGGUGCUAAUACCGCGUAAGACUACAACAUCGCAUGGUGUAGUGGUCAAAAUGAUAGUGGCAUAAGAUAGGCUCGCGUCCAAUUAGCUAGUUGGUAGGGUAGAAGCCUACCAAGGCGACGAUCGGUAGCCGAACUGAGAGGUUGAUCGGCCGCAUUGGGACUGAGACACGGCCCAGACUCCUACGGGAGGCAGCAGUGGGGAAUAUUGCGCAAUGGGGGAAACCCUGACGCAGCAACGCCGCGUGAAGGAAGAAGGCUUUCGGGUUGUAAACUUCUUUGAUUGGGGAAGAAAUAGACGGUACCCAAAAAACAAGCCACGGCUAACUACGUGCCAGCAGCCGCGGUAACACGUAGGUGGCAAGCGUUGUCCGGAAUUACUGGGUGUAAAGGGCGUGUAGGCGGGAGUGCAAGUCAGAUGUGAAAUUCCGUGGCUCAACCACGGGGCUGCAUCUGAAACUGUGCUUCUUGAGUGCCGGAGAGGAAAGUGGAAUUCCUGGUGUAGCGGUGAAAUGCGUAGAGAUCAGGAAGAACACCAGUGGCGAAGGCGGCUUUCUGGACGGUAACUGACGCUGAGGCGCGAAAGCGUGGGGAGCGAACAGGAUUAGAUACCCUGGUAGUCCACGCCGUAAACGAUGGAUACUAGGUGUAGGAGGUAUCGACCCCUUCUGUGCCGGAGUUAACACAAUAAGUAUCCCACCUGGGGAGUACGACCGCAAGGUUGAAACUCAAAGAAAUUGACGGGGGCCCGCACAAGCAGUGGAGUAUGUGGUUUAAUUCGAAGCAACGCGAAGAACCUUACCAGGACUUGACAUCCCUUGAACGCUGUAGAGAUACAGUUUCCCUUCGGGGCAAGGUGACAGGUGGUGCAUGGUUGUCGUCAGCUCGUGUCG